RNAcentral lists this ribosomal RNA (256 nucleotides) under uncultured bacterium. RNAcentral's name for it is "partial 16S ribosomal RNA". It matches the Rfam family "Bacterial small subunit ribosomal RNA", at positions 521 to 776 of the family's 1533-position model. The record is from RNAcentral.
UAAUACGAAGGGGGCAAGCGUUGUUCGGAAUUACUGGGCGUAAAGCGCACGCAGGCGGCGUGACGCGUCAGGAGUGAAAUCCCCGGGCUCAACCUGGGAACUGCUUUUGAAACGGUCAUGCUUGAAUCAUGGAGAGGGUAGCGGAAUUCCGAGUGUAGAGGUGAAAUUCGUAGAUAUUCGGAAGAACACCGGUGGCGAAGGCGGCUACCUGGCCAUGUAUUGACGCUCAGGUGCGAAAGCGUGGGGAGCAAACAGG